CUGCUGUCAAAGCUCUUUGCGCAGUCGCGUUCGUUGACCUCGUGUGAACGUGUUUGCAAUGCUUAAAAUUUAAACAAAACAGAAUUAUUAAUUUUAUAGCUAAAAGUCAUACAAUGAUUGCUGAUUGUAUAAAGGUCUUUGGGCGCUUCGCUAUGGUAAGUCAACAAAGGAAAAGGAUGGAACUCAGAGCUACUGAGUUGGAGUUGAAUUGAAGAAAUUUAUGGUCGAGAGAGGAGCACUUUUGUAAGUACCUAAUAAACAUGUGCCUUAUUAUUUAUCCCAGAUACAAUUUUAGCAUAUUUUCACAGCGGAACUUAGUCAAAAGCCACGAGGAAAUUGUUGCCUUCGGUUACAAUAAAUGCAUAAUGGUAAUCUAUUCUAUUUUCAGCUAUUUGUCACAUUUCAAAUGUAUUUCCUCUUGCUUUCCUACUCGCCUCUUUCCGCCCUAGGACUGCAGUUUUUAUGUAGCAUGCAAAUUAAAAUAAAAUUUGUAGCUUUUUUAUUGGAUUUUUAUCAACUGGUGAAUGACAGCCCCGGCCGCCGGAGAGGGUCAGUAGCGACGAACAUGGAGCAUCGAGCAGCGAGCAUCGAGCUUGACAUGGACAUGGACAUCUGUUUGGAAAAUCAAAAUCGUCGUCUGUCUGUCUCUCCCUCUCCAUUUCUUGCUAGCUCUUCUGGCAUGUCGAUUCGGAUGAAAUUUAAAUCAAAUGUCUGUCGAUCCAUUCCUUUUCUCCGUAUGAUUGUACUCGGGAGAGGGCUGCUGCUGGAACCAAGCGAAAGACUUGUGAGUCAGUGGGCACCACUCGAGUGAAAAUAAAG
This 819-nucleotide long non-coding RNA is filed under the name Drosophila guanche. Lineage: Eukaryota; Metazoa; Arthropoda; Insecta; Diptera; Drosophilidae. The record is from RNAcentral.